Molecule: long non-coding RNA, 1029 nt
Filed under: Olea europaea (common olive)
Lineage: Eukaryota; Viridiplantae; Streptophyta; Magnoliopsida; Lamiales; Oleaceae
Description: long non-coding RNA (OEUR_LNC013766)
Source: RNAcentral
CUACCCGUGAUGCCUUGUUGACAACUGCUUUGGCAUUUCUCACUACUUUCUUGGCCAAAGGCAGAGCGCAUUCAUCAAAUUUAUAUGUCGCUUCAUCCAUCAGAUAUAAUGAACACUAGUAUUUAAACCAAGGAAAUAAACAACGAGACUUAUAUAUUAAGUGUGCCAAUGAAACAAACACAUAGAAUUAGAAGUAUACUACCAAAACAACUUGGCAGCCCAUAGAAAAGGGCAGCAAUGAAAUAGACAUAGGUGAAACACAGGUCUGAAAUAAUCAAAUCAUAACAAACACAUUUAUAACAAACAGACACGCCAUAAAACCUAAUUAGAACUGAACUAUAAAUCAAUUACAAGAGAUGCAUUUCAAUACGCUCAAGGCAUUUGAGCUAGAAGGAAUUAUAUCUAUAUUAGAACUGAUUUUUUGCAGUGAAGUUCCUCACCCAAACUAAGUGUCUCAAGCUUCAGUUUUGUUAUCAUAAAAGAACAAACUCACGUUGUUGUAGAGAAGGUCUUGUUAUAAUAAAGAAAAUUCUAUGACCCCUAUAUGUUGUGUAGUUCUUUCUUUUGAGAUUUAUUAUAUACAUGGCAUGCAAAUGCAAGAAAACAAACAAACAAAAAACCAGCUCAUAACAUGUCAACAACUUACUCGGGAUAGAAUUUGAGUUUAUGAACCCAACCGUGUAGACUGCGGAGUCCAAUAACGCAAUCAUAAAUUCGUAUAUUGUACAAAAGUUAAGAUUUAUUCCUUUAAUUCAAGAUUAUUCCCAAAAUUUCAAAAAUAAAAAAAGAAAGAUAUAAAGAAAAUUGAAGAAUUUAUACUUUUGUAGUUAGAGCAUUCAACCUGAAACAAAUCUGCUAAUCUCCAAUCAAAAAGGAAUAAUUCAUUGAAUCAAAUAUACGACCCACUCUAUAUACAAUUCCAGGAUCAAAGAGAAAUUCAGAAACAAAAUUCUAGACAAAUCAAAACUGUAAAACAAUCAAUACAUAUUACCAAAACAAAAAUCAUAAGACAUUUAAAAAAAAAAAAAA